This 253-nucleotide ribosomal RNA is filed under the name uncultured bacterium. RNAcentral describes it as "partial 16S ribosomal RNA". It matches the Rfam family "Bacterial small subunit ribosomal RNA", at positions 524 to 776 of the family's 1533-position model. The record is from RNAcentral.
UACGGAGGAGGCAAGCGUUAUCCGGAAUUACUGGGCGUAAAGCGCACGUAGGUGGCUAAGUAAGUCUGGGGUGAAAGCCCGGGGCUCAACCUCGGAAGUGCAUUUGAAACUGCAAAGCUGGAGUACGGAAGAGGUGGGUGGAAUUCCCAGUGUAGCGGUGAAAUGCGUAGAUAUUGGGAAGAACACCAGUGGCGAAGGCGGCCCACUGGUCCAGUACUGACACUGAGGUGCGAAAGCGUGGGGAGCAAACAGG